AUACGUAGGUGGCAAGCGUUAUCCGGAAUUAUUGGGCGUAAAGCGCGCGCAGGCGGUCCUUUAAGUCUGAUGUGAAAGCCCACGGCUCAACCGUGGAGGGUCAUUGGAAACUGGGGGACUUGAGUGCAGAAGAGGAGAGCGGAAUUCCACGUGUAGCGGUGAAAUGCGUAGAGAUGUGGAGGAACACCAGUGGCGAAGGCGGCUCUCUGGUCUGUAACUGACGCUGAGGCGCGAAAGCGUGGGGAGCGAACAGGAUUAGAUACCCUGGUAGUCCACGCCGUAAACGAUGAGUGCUAAGUGUUAGAGGGUUUCCGCCCUUUAGUGCUGCAGCAAACGCAUUAAGCACUCCGCCUGGGGAGUACGGUCGCAAGACUGAA
This 377-nucleotide ribosomal RNA is filed under the name uncultured bacterium. RNAcentral's name for it is "bacterial SSU rRNA". It matches the Rfam family "Bacterial small subunit ribosomal RNA", at positions 523 to 898 of the family's 1533-position model. The record is from RNAcentral.